AACGAACGCUGGCGGCAUGCCUAACACAUGCAAGUCGAACGAGACCUUCGGGUCUAGUGGCGCACGGGUGCGUAACGCGUGGGAACCUGCCCUUAGGUUCGGAAUAACUCCCCGAAAGGGGUGCUAAUACCGGAUAAUGUCUUCGGACCAAAGAUUUAUCGCCUUUGGAUGGGCCCGCGUUGGAUUAGCUAGUUGGUAGGGUAAAGGCCUACCAAGGCGACGAUCCAUAGCUGGUCUGAGAGGAUGAUCAGCCACACUGGGACUGAGACACGGCCCAGACUCCUACGGGAGGCAGCAGUGGGGAAUAUUGGACAAUGGGCGAAAGCCUGAUCCAGCAAGGCCGCGUGAGUGAUGAAGGCCUUAGGGUUGUAAAGCUCUUUUACCCGGGAUGAUAAUGACAGUACCGGGAGAAUAAGCUCCGGCUAACUCCGUG
RNAcentral lists this ribosomal RNA (433 nucleotides) under uncultured bacterium. Its description in RNAcentral is "partial 16S ribosomal RNA". It matches the Rfam family "Bacterial small subunit ribosomal RNA", at positions 29 to 507 of the family's 1533-position model. The record is from RNAcentral.